GAAGAGCAGUGUAAAAGAGAGCUUGAGCCUCCAGAGCCUCAAUGUCUAGGGGCUUGUUGUUCUGUAGUUCGAAUAGCUUUCUAAAGUUCAUUUUUAAAAGCAGUAGAGCAGUUUUUCAUGUGUAUAUACGCUAGUUAGACUCGCUACGCCCCUUAGCUUCUCUUAGGAACCAGGCUGGUGCCCAUGCACCUUACUACUGCCAGCCCAUUGCUAGGGAACUACAAUCUAGCCUUCCCAGUGCUACUACUAAUACAAUGAUCCUUUUGCUUUGCUGUCGUCAGGGGCAACUCUUUGUGCAUUGUAAUAGGCUACAACCAGUCUCUGAAAUGCAUGGUAUGUCCUGAAAACGACACACUUCUUUGCCUACAGGUCCCAGCAUGCACCUGGCCCUCUGGGGGUGGGUAGGACCCAGCCGUGCAGCGUGAUUGGCUGUAGUGGUCUGACUGACAGGUCCGAGGCUGCUCCUCCUCAGGUCUCCCAUAAGGAAGAGGUUGUAAAGCUUUAAAGGAGAAGCCUGUUUGGGUGUUUUUGGUUUAAAGCCAUGUGUGUAUUUUAUUAGACACUUAGUGGGAUUGGUAGGUUUUGUUUUGGAUGCCGUUAGCCUGGUCCCAGAUCUGUUUGUGCGGUCUUGCCAUACCCCUAUUGUCAUUGUCAUGUUACAGCACAAACCGAUCUGGAACCAGGCUCGGAUGCAGCUGGGAUGGACUUUUCCUCAGCUUGUGGAGAUCUGAGAGGAUUUGAUUGGUAUAACCAAUAUGGUGACACUUCCACCUAGCCUAUCAGAGGGCAAGGUAGAUGUAUUACCAAAUUGCUUACACCUGUCAAAUCCUGACAGACUCCCCACAAGUGCUUAGGUUAUUGACUGGAAACGGAGAACAUGGUAGUCGCUGGAGAGGCUUUUUAACAGCACAGGUCCAAAUAGCCCCGCUGAGGAACAGGCCCUUAUCUCAGGCCCAUGGCGUGCUCAGCUCCGCGUUCAUUAGGGCACACCAUUGUGGAAUGUUCCAGUAGAAAUAUAUGCAGAACAACUAUGCCUCUGACAUAAGGAAUCACGUCAGCUCUAUUCAAGACAGUUCUAACGUUCCACAACAUUUACCUUCUCAACACGCUCCUGGUACAAGAGGUUUGGUCCCAAACGGGGAACCAUCAGCAUCCUCGGUAGUAGUGGCUGUACUAUGUGUUGAUCCAGGUUAGCUCUGAGUCUCAUCUCAUGUAUGGUUCACUAUUACUGUGGUUAUGGUCUUUAAAGGUACUCUAUUCACUCAGCGGCCAGUGGAGGGCAACAUGGUGUUGUGUGAUAUUGAACAGCUAUGAGACUAACUGGCCUCUAGUACCUUCCACUGUAAUGCCGUUUAUUUUAAAUCUGAAAGGACUUGAUGGGUAUAGCGGCACACCCUAAGCAUUCUGGGGAAAUUACAGCUAGCCUAUCAGAGGUCAAGGUCAAACAAACCCCAUGUUGUUAUUCCUUUCAGGUGUCCUGGAGUGUGUAGUGGGGAGGGGCUAGACUAGAGCCUGGGUACCAGUCUGUGUUCACAUGACACAGAGUACAUGACCUGGAAUGCUAGCAAGACAGGUUCUGUAUUUCAAGCUAGCUAGACUAGUGUGUGACCCUUUGACCCUGUGCCCUUUGACCCCAUACUUGACCCCUGGUGUGACUCUCAGACGUCCCUGCUACGCCUCUUCUCUCACCGUCCGUCCGUCUGACCUAUCCCACUCAUGUACUGCACUUUAUAACCUGAUUUACAGAGAUCACUAGUUAGGAAAUAUUAUUAGAGACAAAUAUUGAUAUUUAGACCAGGUUAUAGCAUCAAAUACUGUAUCAUUAUCAAAGGUAAUAAGUUAUUUAGCAUUUCAUGUAGACAUUUAGUUUAAUGUUUUGUUGUGCCUCCAUUGUGUGAUGAACCAUUGAAAAGGGAAUCCAAGCUGUCAUGUUUUUAAAACUGUAUAUCAGUGCAAACCAAAACUCAUUUUUAAAUAGAGUGAAAUGCUUUGUGUUGGCUUGUGUGUUGUAAUACCUAUUACCUAUGUAACCAUGAGGAAAGAGCAUCAGUUUUAUACUAGGGUUUCUGCUCUGCGGGAGGUAUAGGAGGAGAGGCUGUUCGUUCUAUUGAAUCUAGUUCUAUGAUUCACACCGUUGGCUCUAUUCAGUGUAGCUGAUGGGUGAUGGUGGAGGUUGUUAUGGGCUCUGUCUCGUUGGAAGUGUUCAUUAUUGGUUUUCGACCUGGCGCCUCUCCUCCAUGCUUCAUAAAAUACCCAAAUACCCAAUACCCUUUUUGGUGCUUUUGUUUUAAUAAAGAAAAUGAGAAAUUA
This is a long non-coding RNA of Oncorhynchus masou masou (cherry salmon), 2310 nucleotides long. RefSeq lists it as uncharacterized. NCBI's taxonomy places the organism in Eukaryota, Metazoa, Chordata, Actinopteri, Salmoniformes, Salmonidae. The transcript is spliced from 2 exons. The record is from RefSeq and is a predicted model, not a curated record.